Molecule: transfer RNA, 65 nt
Filed under: Dipodomys ordii (Ord's kangaroo rat)
Lineage: Eukaryota; Metazoa; Chordata; Mammalia; Rodentia; Heteromyidae
Rfam family: tRNA
About the family: Transfer RNA (tRNA) molecules are approximately 80 nucleotides in length. Their secondary structure includes four short double-helical elements and three loops (D, anti-codon, and T loops).
Source: Rfam by way of RNAcentral
GGUGGCUCAGUGGUAGAGUGCUUGCCUUGCAUGCAUGAGGCCCUGGGUUUGAUGACUCAGCACCA